This 2781-nucleotide long non-coding RNA is filed under the name Ananas comosus (pineapple). RNAcentral describes it as "long non-coding RNA (ACOM_LNC023363)". The record is from RNAcentral. Lineage: Eukaryota; Viridiplantae; Streptophyta; Magnoliopsida; Poales; Bromeliaceae.
AUUAUGUUUAAAACCAAAUUUAGAAUUUUCUAGAAAAUUUAGGGUAAUUUUUAGUUUUUUCUGAUGUUUAAAAUUUUAAUGAAUUUUAAAUUAAUUUUGGGAAUAAACAAAUUCCAAAGAAAGAAGUACGAUUGCAGCAAGGUUUAGACAAUUUUUCUUUUUUGUAAUUUUCUUUAAAAACGAAAAUUAAGAAUAAAGUGAAUAAAAUAGUCGAUAAAUAGGGAAAAUUUAGAAAAUUUGUUGAAUUGUUUUAGAAAAUCGGAAAAGCAAAUUUAGAAAAAGAAUAAGAGAAAUAGAGAAAAGGAGAAAAGGUGAGGAAGGAAAGAGAAGAUAGAGCCUCUUCGGAAGAAGAACUUUGCUGGCGCAUAUGGUAGGGAAGGAGAAGGAUAUUGUCCAAGAAAUCCAUCACCCAUGGUGAAGUCAACUUGACGAAGAAGCAUGCUUUUGUCCACCUUCUCCAACUUCACAAUAUUAGUUAAUUUACGAGGUAUGAAUUUUAUUUUUGAUCCAGCACAGUCAAACGAAUAAGUAUUUUUAUAUUUGUCAUGCCAUUUUAUGAUCAUACAUGAUACAUCCAUGGCCUUCUAAGUAGUAUAUGUGCGACUUUCAUAGUUAGAACAUCACACGAGACUUGUUGAAUUAACUUACCAAUUGAAUAUAUAACUAGGCACUAUUCUAGUGACUUUCAAAUUUUGGUUAUUCACCCAUGCUAAUUUGUAAGGCUCUGGUUGCGGUGUGGUCUUCGGUCUCAAUUUGUCAACGGCUUCUUCAGAAAUAAUGUUGGCGCAGCUUCCCGAAUAUAUAAUCAUUGAACAAACUUGUCCAUUAUAAAGAACUCGAAUUGAAAGAUAGUAUGGCGUUUCAACUCUUUAUCGUCUUUCGUCACGUGAGUUGAGAGCAUAGGCUUAAUAACUCCACAAUGUUCAAGACUUUCAUCAUAUUCGAGCUCGUGCACUUCAAUAUUAUCAUCAUCAUCUUAUAGUAUGACGUAUAAUUUUUCAAAAUCAUCGUCAUGUGCUUGAGCCGUUGCUAAGUUAUGCUGUUAGACACUGGUGAGCAUAAUGCCCAGUCUUGUCGCACUUCAAACACCUACCUUUUUUCUUUGAUGCCUUUGAAGUUGAUGCCUUAGAGGACGCCUGAGAAGUUGAUACUGGUUCAUCUUUUUGGACAAGGUGUAGUGAUGCUCGAACCAUGACUCACGAUUACGUAGAAAGUUGCGCCACGUCGAUGAAACACGUGCUUUUUUCUCCUCCACAAUCCGAUGUGCGACUUGAACUACAUCAGCAGGAGAGGAACUGACUGGAUGCUAACUUUUUAGCUACAUUGGAAUGGAGGCCUUGUCGAUACAUGGUAAUCAGCAAAUCCUCACUCCAUGGAAUUCUUGAUCGUGUUGCUAGGUAGUAGAAGCGCAAAGUGUACUCCGCGACUGUUAUGCUACCUUGAGUUAACCGAGUAUGUUGGUAUUGAAUGCGCUAUCUAUAAUCAAUUGGUACGAAUUGACGUUUCAUAGCUCUUUUCAUAUCCUUCCACGUACGGAUAGCCAGAUAAUGAUGUUGUUGCUCGUGUCCACAAAUACUUGAUAUACAACGGAGUAUUGACUCUACAAUCAUAAUUUUUGAUUUUCCGUAGGCUGGUACUAGCAAACAUAUGCCUCUAGGCUAUGAAACUCCUAGACAUGAAACUUAACACCUUUUAAUUUUUUGUAGCUUUGGUAUGAGAUGUAGUAGUUUGAGUUUGCAGUAGGGUAUUUUUGAAUAUAUUGAGGUAUAACAGGAGAUAAUGUUGGGACGAAAUGUCACGCCCCGAGGUCCUUUUUUGGAUUUAAAAGUUGAUGCUGCCCAAAUUUUUUUUUUGAAACCUUGACCCCAGAGUAUGUCAGAUCCGCCACAAAUACAGAAAAUUCACUGUCCACACGAAUAGUCUCCCCUGUAUUUGCACGGCGUCGCAUAAGUACAAGAUACAACCACAAACAUUCACCAUUCACAUUCACAUUCGUUUCAUCACAGAUAUGUAUAAAUCAACAUCUAUUAGUUUAAAAUGUUUCCUAUCCGGAAACUCAUUUUAAAACACUAAGAGUCGUGAAAAUCAAUAAAACGUUUUCAAAACCGUUUCCCACACGGAAACCUUUUUCUUUAAAACACGCUACCACGAGGGGUAGAAAACCAUUUUUAUCUCAUGAGAAAACUAUAAGUUCUUUAUUACAUUCACAAAAAACUCAUUUAUCCAAUUUAAGCAAACCUAUGAACCAUAAAUACUAAGUCAAUUAUUAAAAAGACAGGUUUGAGGAUUUUAACCAAAACGGCGGGCCGAUAGCUCUAUCGCUCGCUAAGAUGCGCACCUCACGUACCGUCCCGACUCGGAUCCGUGACGUCACCUGAAAGGGGGUGGGGGGAGAGAACAUGUACACAUAUUUCCGUUCCCAGUGGGUACCGCAAGCCGACCAGGGCGAGGGGUACUCACUAGUCAAGGGAUAAACAAAGGUAUAGGUAAUGGUAAUACAGUAGCAAUAAUAAACAAAAAAGGAGAUGUAUAUAUAUAAAUCACUACCGCUACUGUAUACAUGCAUCAACCGGACCGCAAAUCCAAAAGUACCCAAUCAUAAACCUGUCAUAUCGGUCCGUAGACCUUAGGCCUGUGCCACAACUGCUCUAACCUGUAUAUGACCCUAGCAUAAGAUCCUGGGUCUGAAAAGCAAAUGACCCUAGCAUAAAGCUCCUGGGCCUGAAAGCAUAUAACCCUAGAAUAAAGCUCCUAGGCUCACGGGCUAGCACUUUUUCGGAA